UCCACGUCAAGGUAUCUUCCUACAGCAACAGCACCAAUUCCAAGAGCAGCACCCGAUGCUACCAGACCGAGUGCAGUCGACGAAGUGGAAGAAGACGAGUUGAAAGGAGAAAUGGUUAGUUGGAGCAUGCGAAAA
This 135-nucleotide long non-coding RNA is filed under the name Polistes fuscatus (common paper wasp). Its description in RNAcentral is "uncharacterized LOC122524716". Lineage: Eukaryota; Metazoa; Arthropoda; Insecta; Hymenoptera; Vespidae. The record is from RNAcentral.